AUACGGAGGGUCCAAGCGUUAUCCGGAUUCAUUGGGUUUAAAGGGUCCGCAGGCGGGAAAAUAAGUCAGUGGUGAAAGCCUACAGCUCAACUGUAGAACUGCCAUUGAUACUGUUUUUCUUGAGUAUAGAUGAAGUGGGCGGAAUAUAUCAUGUAGCGGUGAAAUGCAUAGAUAUGAUAUAGAACACCGAUUGCGAAGGCAGCUCACUAAACUAUUUCUGACGCUCAGGGACGAAAGCGUGGGGAGCGAACAGGAUUAGAAACCCCAGUAGUCC
This 274-nucleotide ribosomal RNA is filed under the name uncultured bacterium. RNAcentral describes it as "partial 16S ribosomal RNA". It matches the Rfam family "Bacterial small subunit ribosomal RNA", at positions 523 to 796 of the family's 1533-position model. The record is from RNAcentral.